RNAcentral lists this unclassified non-coding RNA (2659 nucleotides) under Anneissia japonica. Its description in RNAcentral is "protein sidekick-2-like, transcript variant X2". Lineage: Eukaryota; Metazoa; Echinodermata; Crinoidea; Comatulida; Comatulidae. The record is from RNAcentral.
AAUUUGAUUGAGAUUACACUCUGUUGCAUUUCAAUGUGUUACGAAUGUAUAUAAUUAUUUAAAAAAAUAUAUAUUCUAAUUACUGUACUUGUUAGUAACUCUCCCAUUACAGGUUUGGUUCAAUCAGGUAUAUUUUACUCUUUAACCCUUACCCUAAUGUUAUAGUCAUGAUUGAAAAAACCUUCUUUUCUUUAUAUUUAAGAUAUACCGGUACUUUCUAUGGAAUAAAGGACCUUUUUGCUAUUGUGAGGGGAGUUCUAUAAUUUUAUGUUAAUAAUGAAUGACGUUCUUUCUUACUUCCACGUUAAUAAUAAUGACAUCUUGUAAGGCGCACAUAUCCAUCUUAGUGAGCUGCUCUCGGCGCCAUUUGCAGCUCUUUUUGAAUUUUCCUAUAUUUUAUUUAAUUUAUUUUUGUUGAAAUAAUAUUUCUUAUGUAAAUAUUUAUUAUCAACUUAAUUAGUGAGGAAAAUCAGGCAAAGACAAGUGCAAAAAUCUCCCCCAGGGGUCAUUAAUCCAUCAUCCAAUUUGUAUAACUUACAUUUUCUCCUAAUUAUAUAAUACGCAUUACUAACAGAGCCUCCUGCGGGCCCAGAGGAUAUACAGGCAAUAAUAAGCCAAAAUGCAACAAACGAUAUUCCAGGAGAAAUUGAUGUUAGCUUCGGUAAACAAAGAGGAGGAGUAAUUAUACAUUACAAGGUACAAAUCAUUGAUGGCGACGGAGAUGUACUUGGAAAUACCACCACAGUUGGUAUGUUACCUGCAACUGUGACAGGUGGAUUCCCUUGUGAAUCUGUAACACCACAAGUGGCAGCAUGCACAUCAGCAGGAUGUGGUUUAUUUGCAAGUGGUCCCAACAUUACGAUGAAUCCUGCAGCUCCUGGUGAAGUAUCUGUGAAUGUAAAAGGUGUGCCAUCGAGAUCGAAAAAACUGUCCAUAUCUUGGUCAGCACCUGAGGUGGUCCAUUGCCCAAUAGUUGAGUACAAGAUAGAAUAUAAACUUACCCAUCUUGAUCAGUGUCAGGACCAAAGUAAUGAAUUUGAAGUCAAGAUUGUGAACCAUACAAAAACACAAGACAUCUUAACAAAACUUAUACCAUUUAGUACUUAUGACGUAGUCGUUUCAGCUGGAGUAGAUGGUAUGAAUGGUAAAACAAUUUUCACUCCUGGUCGGACUGGUUUUGGGCUCACAACAUCAGCAGAUGCUACUGCACCACCAAAUAAUAUAAUUAACCACAAAACAGAGGAUGCACGAUCACUGAAUUAUACAUGGGAAGAAAUUCCAUGUGGUCAUAGGAGAGGUGCUGUAGAAAGGUACAACUAUAAUCUAAAAAUAGGUUCCCGUAUUGUAAGACAAGGUGUUGUCAGGCCCAGAACUGUGAGGAUCAGAGGCCUGGUUCCUUGUACCUCAUACACAUUCAUGGUGAGUGGCAGAGGCCCUAAAGCCCAAAGCAGUGACAGUAUUAAAUCAAGAACAAAUGUUGAAGUCCCAGAGAGCGUAGAAAAUAUCACCGUCCUUGAAACUACCUUGGUAUGGGACAGACCUCCACCUUUGACUUGUGACAUUUUGAAAUAUCACAUUCACGCAAUUUUGAUUGAAAAGGAUCAGUGUCAACAAGUUGGUAGAAAUGAAUAUUUUACAGUAGAAGAUGCUGAGGUAAAUUUGUUAAUUUUGAAACCACAUUCAAGGUAUCGCGUCACUAUCAGCGCUGAAACAGAUGCAGGGCUUGGUCCGGCAACUGCUCUGGAAUUUAUAACGCCUCAAAAAGUUCCUAAACGUGGCCCAAAAGAAGUUAAUGUUACCGCUGUGUCAGCCACAGGAGCCAGUUUUGCAUGGUCUCAAGUAGAGUGUGGUUAUAGAAGAGGUCUAGUCAUAGGCUACAAAUUCAGCUUGCAAAAUGCAGAUGGCCACGAACUUUUCAGUAACGUUGUGACAACUGAGCUUCAGUGCGAAUUUGACGACCUAAAGCCAUUUACUGAAUACGUUUUCAGUGUAAAGGCUUUCAAUUCUAAAGGUGAUGGAAUAAGCAAAGAAUUACAUAUAACAACAGACGAAUCAAAUUCCAUAAUUCUAAGAAAAAAAAGAAGACGGAGCAUUCCAAGGUGAUAAAGUUGGAAUCACUUUGUGAGGAUUCAGCUUAUGAAGAGUUACACACGUACAUGUCAAUAGAGGAAGUAUACAGUAACCUGCCGUUGUAGUUUAAUAAUACCAGGCCUAAAGGUUCUACUAAAACAGAAGAGCAAGAUAACACAAAAGUUAAGUUUGACAUUUUUCUGUCAUGUUGAAAUUCAAGAUGGCCGCUUUCAAAAUGUUAAAAAUUCGAAUAUUUCAGUAUAAUUCCACAUCUCCUUUAUGUAAAGAGGUAAAUUUUGAUGUAAUCUUUUGUUUUUGGGCUCUUUGAAGAGCCCAAAAAAACAUAGUUUCAAAAGCUAGGAUGGCAGCCAUUUUGAAAUUCAAAUUCAAGAUAUAAGCCGCCACAAAAUCCUUAAAAAUCAAAUAUUUUGGUAUGUAAUUUCAUUUCUCUUCGAUGAAAAAUGCUAAAUUUGGUGUUUAAACAUAUGUUAUUGGGCUCGCUGAGUCCAAUAUACAUGGUUUCAUAAAUCUAGGAUGGCAACCAUUUUAAAAUUCAAGAUGGCCACUAUAAAAACCAUCGAGAAUUGAA